UGCAGCAGGACACGCCCACGGUGGCCUCGGGCAGCUCGUCGUCCUCCGUCCACUCGUUGAGCUCGGCGCUGAAGCACUGGAUGCACUUCUUGUACUUCUUCUCGCCCUCGUUCCAGCCCCCCACCAGAGAUGGGGUCUUGCUAUGUUGCCCAGGCUGAUCUCAAAGUGUUGACCUCAAGCAAUCCUCCCACCUCAGCCUCUCAAAGUGCUGGUAUUACAGCCAUCUCUACUCAAGGGGUCCCCACGCUUGGUAGCGAGGGUCAUCACCAUGGUGACUGUACCCUAGGAAGGGCUCUGCCUCAGGCUAUGGUCUGCCUGGGAAACCAUGUACCCUUACUGAGCUGCCUGUGGCUGGGAGAGUUUCAACAACUUUUUCCUGAACCACAACAGGCUUGAUUCUCCCUCACUACCCAGAAGAGACCUAACAAGCUACACCUUGUGAUCAAAGAGAAGAAGAACUUUACAGCUCCGGAGGGACCAGGCACCAGUGGUGGCCUGCACUUUCCACAUGGUCCCUGUCAAUGCAGGAAACUCUGGGAACAGCAGCAGGUGGUGCAGCCACAGCAGCUGAGGUCCUGCAAUGGGACAGCAGCGGCACUGGCAGUCCCUUCUCUUUUGGAAUCAAAGAAGAGGCCUUCCACAGGGUGCAGCGGGCGGCAGGGACGUCCCUAUGCCACAGGAGCUAUCCCUGAGUUCUGCAGGAACCCAGAGAACUCCCCUCUCCUGUUCUGGACUCCACAGCCUCUUCCCUCCUUGCUUAAUCCACUAUCACCCAGAACAGCCUCUUGGAUCCCCUGGAAGAGCAGCCCUUAGAAACUGGGCGGAAGGGUAACAGAGACGCGAUUUCACACUCCCUUCCCCACUGCCUACUGCAGCCCCUGGCUCUUGGGCCACUUCAGUAAUGGUCGUGUCACGUAUUCAACACCUGAUAAACAGCUGGGCAGAAUUAGGAAAGUCAUUCUGUUUUUCAUCAUCUUUUGUAUUUGCCAAAUUUAAGUAUAGUAAUAAUUUCUAAAUAUAAACCACCAGGCAUGAACCUAUGUGACACAUUAAAUGUAAAACAAUACCUCCAUUUCUACCUAUAUAUAGCUAGCAGUUUUGAAUUGAGAACCUACUGUGUGCUGAGCCCUGGGUUAAGUGCAUAAUUUUAUUUUUUUAGUGUAAGUAUCACAGAAAUCCUAAAAGGUAGGUUAUAUCGUGUUAAUUUUACAAAGGAAGAAAUUAAGAUUCCGAAUGAGUAAAAAGAAAAACUUGUCCAGGGUCAUACUAGUAAGUACGUAGUGUGUACUGGAGCAAAGAUUCAAAGCCAGGUGAAACUCUGGCCCCUAUUUUGCCUCCUUGAAGUCCAGGGUAGGAGAAAACCUGUACAAGGUUAAAAGUUAGUGCUUUACAAAGUGAGAGGAGAGAGAUCAAGUGAAGCAGCACUCCGGUUUAUAGAAUCAGAAUUGGAUAUGGAGAACAUGAAAUGGUUCUUUCUAGCUCCUAAUACUGAAAUUAAAGAGUUGCCUUUUUGAAUGUAAAAUGAAUUUGUUUGGAGACACAUAUAUCCUGUAGAUUUCUAUCCUAUUAAAGGUAGAAAGAAUGUGAAACUCCAGUAGGUUAGGUAAGCCAAAUAAACAGGUUCAAGGAGGGCCUGUGGGCAUUUGUUGAUCAGAUAGUCAAGUGCUUCCUUUUAAGUGUUACGUUUUGGUUUUUGAGAAAACAAUUAAAUAUUGUCAAUUUCAUAUGGUUCAUGCCUGGCUUUUAUCUAUAAAGCAUACAUACUCUAUACACAAAGUUAACUAUGGUUCUAUUCUCUGAGCCAGGAUACAGAACCUGACGAGCUAGUACAAUUUUUAGUUUGGGGCUUGUUGCCCCACAGUGGUUAUAGCGCCAGCCAUAAACACCGAGGAUGGUGGGUUUGAACCUGGUCCAGGCCAGCUAAACAACAAUGACAACUGCAACAAAACAUAGCUGGGUGUUGUGGUGGACGCCUGUAGUCCCAGCAACUUGAGAGACUAAGGCAAGAGAAUUGCUUAAGCUCGAGGUUGCUGUGAGCUGUGAUG
Molecule: long non-coding RNA, 2045 nt
Organism: Nycticebus coucang (slow loris)
Lineage: Eukaryota; Metazoa; Chordata; Mammalia; Primates; Lorisidae
Exons: 3
Source: RefSeq, a predicted model, not a curated record